Molecule: long non-coding RNA, 1999 nt
Filed under: Homo sapiens (human)
Lineage: Eukaryota; Metazoa; Chordata; Mammalia; Primates; Hominidae
Description: HSALNT0150240
Source: RNAcentral
AUUUUUAAAGAGGCUGUGGCAGGUGCUUAUAAUAUGCACAUUGUAGUUUUAUUUCCAUCUGGGUGAACAAGAAGUCAGCUGCCUGGAGCUGAGACUUAUUUGCUUAUGGACACAGUGAAAACAACUUGGGAGUAGUAAUGAAGAUGACCAGAGGCCAGCGAGCUGAAAGUGUUUCCAGCAAAGCAGCCCUCUGAUCCAUAUACUUUAGCUACAACUUACAUCACCAAGGUCCAUAUUAUAUACUGUGAUAUUCCAGCUGCACAGCGAAGAAUCCGUCACCUGCUGACAAAAACAAAUGAUGCUGAGAGGUUUGGGCACAAUAAAGUGGAUAAUUAUACACAGGCACUUUUUCCCAUGCAGCAUUCUUUAAGGAUGUGCCAGAGGAUCUUGAAAGAUCUUUGAAGAGCUAUGAACUGAUAGAAAUACAAUCUUGGAUUUAUUUUUUAAUCAUUUGCUAGUUAAUAAAAUUACUGCUUUCAAUGUAGAAUUACAGCUUUUAACUGAUCCUACUUUAUUGCAGAUUUGCAUAAAGAAGAAGACAAUCUAAUGUAAUAUCUGAAAGCAAAACAAAGAGAAUAAUAAUAGUUUGAGGUCUGAAUUAUAUUCCUCUGCCUUUUGAUAUGCAUUGCCAAAUUUCCUGUAAGAUAUCCUAAUAUAUUUAUAUAGAAUUUACAAUUCUAUAUAAAUAUUUUAACUUUCUUAAUGUUGUGAUCUUACUUUUAAGAAUCUGGCAACUUAAAUUCAUGACUACUUAAAGAAUCACUUUAUCCUUAUACAUCUAAAGACACGAAAGUCUUAUUUCCUAAGGAAUAAUUGGACCAAAAAUUUUUCAAGCCAGUUUACUUAAGUCAUUAUUUUCCCUGUAACUCAGAAUACAUUAACUCCAGUAUCAAAAUGUAACCAUUAUGAUUCCUCAUGUCUUCAUGACUCUCUAAACUGUGUUGUUAAUCAUUUUGUGAUAAAUCUUUUCAGCAAGCCUAUGAUGACCAAAGUUCAUUAGGAUCAUCAAGAUGUGGAAAAAAAUAACACUAGGUUACAUUAAAAAUGGAAAACAUGCCAAAUUAACUCUUGCAGAUAACCCACUGUCGAAGAUAGGUGAGAUAAAUAAUUUAGGACAUUCAUUUUACAUUUUCAAAUUAAUAAUGUAUAUUCUGUGGCUUUCUAUUUAUAUAUAGAUCCACAUGGGCUACUAUGAAAAAUACAUUUGUUAAAAUACUUUAUCAAAUUAUUUAAAUAAUAAAAUUGACUUUGUCAAGUUUUGCUCAUUUACAAGUAUUUAUUUUAUGUUUCACUAUAUACCAGCUACUGUUUUUGUUAAUCAGCUUUUUUGAGGUAUAUGUUACAUUCACUAAAAUAAACUCAUUUUUAGUGUGUAGUUCAAUGAAUUUUGAUAGGUGUAUACACUUGUGUAACUACCAGCAUAAUCAAGAUACAACACAUUUCAUCCCUCUAAAAUACUUUUCACCCCCACCCUCUGCUCCAAGCAAUCAUUGAUUUACAUUGUUGUAUGUUAGUCUAUUCUAUAUUCUAGAAUUUCACAGAAAUAAAAUUAUUCGGGUGGUGUUAUUUUAUAUAUGGCCUUUUUAAAUUUUUCUCUUGCCAAGUAUAAUAUUUCUGAAAUUAAUCCAUAGUUUCGCAUUUCAGAAGCUCAUUUCUCUCUAUUGCUGAGUACUCCCAUCCUAUGAAGUUCUCUAUUCAUCUGUUUUUAAGAUAUUUUAACUGUUUCCAAUUUUAAGGUAUUACGAACAAGGUGUUAUGAAUAUUUGUGAAUACAUCUUUGUAUGAACAUGUUUUUAUUCUCUUGAUAAAUACUUAGAUUGCUGAGUCAUAUAAUAAACUUGUUUUUAACUUCCAGUCACGGCUUUAAGCUCCUAAAGUGCAGGUGUUUGUUUGUUUGUUUGUUUGUUUGUUUAUUUUUAAGAAAAAGCCAAUGUUUCAACUCUUAUCCAACUUACAUGCAAACUUAAUUGAACUUACAUAAAAAAAUUAUUCAAUGCUU